Triticum aestivum (bread wheat) is the source of this 124-nucleotide non-coding RNA. NCBI's taxonomy places the organism in Eukaryota, Viridiplantae, Streptophyta, Magnoliopsida, Poales, Poaceae. The record is from Rfam.
AAGUUAGUCCUCCGUCCGAAAUUACUUGUUGGAGAAAUGAAUAAAAAUGGAUGUAUCUAGAACUGAAAUAAGUCUAGUUACAUCCAUUUCCCCGACAAGUAUUACAGGACGGAGGGACUAUUAU